UUUAACGAGGACCUAUUGGAGGGCAAGUCUGGUGCCAGCAGCCGCGGUAACUCCAGCUCCAAUAGCGUAUAUUAAAGUUGUUGCGGUUAAAAAGCUCGUAGUUGGAUUCCUGUCUUCGGCCGGGCGGCUAAUGGUUUAGGCCGUUAGACUGCUUUUGGGUCCGGGUGUCAAAGCCUGGGCCCUUUAACGGCCGGACAAUACCACCGGAGGUGCGGGGAUAGUAGUCGGCUCUCGGGCGGGCUAUGACGACCGCACCAAUAUAACAGUCCGAGGUGCCCUUAACAAGGUGUCUCGGGCGGCCGGUAACGUUUACUUUGAACAAAUUAGAGUGCUCAAAGCAGGUACUUCACUGCCUGAAUAUCACAGCAUGGAAUGAUGGAAUAGGACCUCGGUCUUAUUUUGUUGGUUUUCUCUAGACCCGAGGUAA
Molecule: ribosomal RNA, 427 nt
Filed under: Diaphanosoma sp. DJT-2002
Lineage: Eukaryota; Metazoa; Arthropoda; Branchiopoda; Diplostraca; Sididae
Description: bacterial SSU rRNA
Rfam family: Eukaryotic small subunit ribosomal RNA
Source: RNAcentral